AAGGAAUAUUGGACAAUGGGCGGAAGCCUGAUCCAGCCAUGCCGCGUGAAGGAAGAAGGCGCUCAGCGUUGUAAACUUCUUUUAAAUGGGAACAAUAACUCCGACGCGCUCGGGGCUUGAGGGUACCAUUAGAAUAAGCACCGGCUAACUCCGUGCCAGCAGCCGCGGUAAUACGGAGGGUGCAAGCGUUAUCCGGAAUCACUGGGUUUAAAGGGUGCGUAGGCUGUUUGAUAAGUCAGUUGUGAAAUACCCCGGCUUAACCGGCGGUCGUGCGAUUGAUACUGUCAGACUUGAAUCAGGUUGAGGUAGGCGGAAUGUGGCAUGUAGCGGUGAAAUGCAUAGAUAUGCCAUAGAACACCGAUUGCGAAGGCAGCUUGCUGGACCGAGAGUGACGCUGAGGCACGAAAGCGUGGGGAGCAAAC
RNAcentral lists this ribosomal RNA (422 nucleotides) under uncultured bacterium. Its description in RNAcentral is "bacterial SSU rRNA". It matches the Rfam family "Bacterial small subunit ribosomal RNA", at positions 356 to 773 of the family's 1533-position model. The record is from RNAcentral.